CUAUUGUUCGGGUUUUAAGGCACCAUGAGGGGUGACAGAGGCUGUGGUGUGGUGGGCGCUUUAGUUCCAGAGGAGGCCCAGGAAGAGGGUUCAGGCCCUUUGUACUACAUAUCCCAUUUGACUUCUAUUUGUGUGAAAUGGCCUUCCCCUGGGUCAAGCCAGCACCUGAUGAAACUUCAGUUAGGCCUUGCUGAAGAGGAAUCAGGACCUGGUUCCCAAUUCUAUCCUUUCCCUGGUGACGAAAAUAAACAAUGCGAUUGACAAUCUGAUUGUGGCUCCAGGGACAUUUGAAGUGCAAAUUGAAGUUCGACAGGUGGGAUCCUAUAAAAAGGGGACGAUGACUACAGGACACAAUGUGACUGACCUGGUGGUGAUACUCAAGAUUCUGCCAACAUUGGAAGCUAUUGCUGCCCUGGGGAACAAUGUCGUGGAAAGCCUAAGAGCACAGGAUUCUUCUGAAGUUUUAACCAUGCUGACCAAUGAAACUGGCUUUGAAAUCAGUUCUUAUGAUGCUAGAGUGAAGAUUCUCAUUACAACAGUGCCACCCAAUCUUCGAAAACUGGACCCAGAACUCCAUUUGGAUAUCAAGAUAUUGCAGAGUGCCUUAGCAGUCAUCCCACAUGCCCACUGGUUUGAGGAAAAUGCUUCUCAGUCCACAGUUAAAGUUCUCAUCAGACUACUGAAAGACUUGAGGAUUCGUUUUCCUGGCUUUGAGCCCCUCACACCCUGGAUCCUUGACCUACUAGGUCAUUAUGCUGUGUUGAACAACCCCACCAGAUAGCCUUUGGCCCUAAACGUUGCAUAUAGACGCUGCUUACAGAUUCCGGCUGCAGAACUGUUCCUGCCAGGUUCAGUGGGUAUCACUGACCCCUGUGAGAGUGGCAACUUCAGAGUACACACAGUCAUGACCCUAGAACAGCAGGACAUGGUCUGCUAUAUAGCUCAGACACUCGUCCAAAUCCUCUCACAUGGUGGCUUUAGGAAGAUCCUUGGCCAGGAGGGUGAUGCCAGCUAUCUUGCUUCUGAAAUAUCUCCCUGGGAUGGAGUGAUAGUAACACCUUCAGAAAAGGCUUAUGAGAAGCCACCAGAGAAGAAGGAAGGAGAGGAAGAGGAGGAGAAUACAGAAGAACCACCUCAAGGAGAGGAAGAAGAAAGCAUGGAAACUCAGGAAUGACCUUCCCUUCCCUUGACUUGGAGCCAGACCUUCCCUUGACUGGAGCCUAAGUUCACUGCUACUGGGCUUUACAUGGUGAUAGACAUUUCCAAGGGAUAGGGAAGACAGCAGGAAGGAAAGUAAACUCCAUAGAAGUGUCAUUCCGCUGGGUUUUGAUAUUGGCUUAGCAGCCAGUUUCCCAUCUGUGACCUAUGCCAUCCAUCUAUAAUGAAUGGGGAUAUCAACAUUUCUUCCUAAUAUUCUAGAAUCCCCAACUCCUGAAAACCCCUCUCUCAACUAAUAUUUUGCUGUUGAAAUGUUAAGUGUCUGGAAAUUUUUUUUCUAAGAAAAACUAUUAAAGUACUUCCUAGUGGGGAAAAAAAAA
This is an RNA transcript of Cebus imitator (Panamanian white-faced capuchin), 1538 nucleotides long. It is a transcript of the gene named interleukin enhancer-binding factor 2-like, with no coding region annotated. Lineage: Eukaryota; Metazoa; Chordata; Mammalia; Primates; Cebidae. The record is from RefSeq and is a predicted model, not a curated record. The transcript has a single exon.